Molecule: ribosomal RNA, 391 nt
Filed under: uncultured bacterium
Lineage: Bacteria
Description: bacterial SSU rRNA
Rfam family: Bacterial small subunit ribosomal RNA
Source: RNAcentral
AUUGAACGCUGGCGGCAUGCCUUACACAUGCAAGUCGAACGGCAGCGGACCUUCGGGUGCCGGCGAGUGGCGAACGGGUGAGUAAUAUAUCGGAACGUACCUCUCAGUGGGGGAUAACGUAGCGAAAGUUACGCUAAUACCGCAUAUUCUGUGAGCAGGAAAGCAGGGGAUCGCAAGACCUUGCGCUGAUUGAGCGGCCGAUAUCAGAUUAGCUAGUUGGUGAGGUAAAGGCUCACCAAGGCGACGAUCUGUAGCGGGUCUGAGAGGAUGAUCCGCCACACUGGAACUGAGACACGGUCCAGACUCCUACGGGAGGCAGCAGUGGGGAAUUUUGGACAAUGGGCGCAAGCCUGAUCCAGCCAUGCCGCGUGAGUGAAGAAGGCCUCGGUUG